GGCGGCGUAGCUCAGCUGGCUAGAGCGUUCGGUUCAUACCCGAAAGGUCGGGGGUUCGAUCCCCUCUGCCGCCA
RNAcentral lists this transfer RNA (74 nucleotides) under Bacillus benzoevorans. It matches the Rfam family "tRNA". Rfam says of the family: Transfer RNA (tRNA) molecules are approximately 80 nucleotides in length. Their secondary structure includes four short double-helical elements and three loops (D, anti-codon, and T loops). Lineage: Bacteria; Bacillati; Bacillota; Bacilli; Caryophanales; Bacillaceae. The record is from Rfam by way of RNAcentral. RNAcentral also lists the same sequence under 1 other name.